Molecule: long non-coding RNA, 866 nt
Filed under: Equus caballus (horse)
Lineage: Eukaryota; Metazoa; Chordata; Mammalia; Perissodactyla; Equidae
Description: lncRNA (ENSECAG00000041326.2)
Source: RNAcentral
CCUUUGCUAUUUCUUAUACACUGCUCAAAAGAAAAUUCAGGAGAGUGACGUCAUCAGAAGUGGUGGAGUGGGCAGUUCCAAGGCUUUGUCCCUCCACAAAAUCAACUAAUGAGCUGGCAAUAACCCGAAGAGUCAACUGUUACAGGAUUCUGAAAUCAGCCAAAAACUUACACAAACCAGGGAAAGACCAGCUGAAGAAAGAAGCUGCUGCUUCAUGCUUCGUGGGGAUAACAAAAUCUGUCCAGUCACUGCCACCCGGAUUGCUGCUUGUCCUCAUGUUACUCUCCGUCUCUCGAUUUGACUAGAAGAAGGUAUAACCUGGCUCCAGGACACCUCUUGGUCACAUCUUCACUGCUUACCGUGAGCUUCAGGAGGAAGCAGAACCACAAAAGAGCCUUUCUGGGCUUAGGCAUCCUGAUAUCCAUCAUCCUGUCACUCUACCAAUGUAUUGUCGGUGGGAGGAAUGAUACACUUAGACUCCCAGGCUUCUGAGAUUUAACGGAUCAGCCUUUAAGGCUCCCAGGAUUUAAGCAGGAUCUCAAAGUUUCUUUAGGAUAUUUUUAUUUCCAAGUGCAAUGUCAAUCUCUGAGACCUAUUGAAGUUGGAAUCUUCUUUGACAUUAUACUCAUUAAACUAAAGAUGGAUAUUUGUUCUAAGGCUGUUUGUGUUUCCCUAAUUCUACAAUAGAAAAGAAGAAAGAAUAAAAGCCGUGAGUAAAUUUGAUUCAGAGGUUUUCAAAUCAACUAGAAGAUGGAAUUCUUCAGCACGAUUUCUUAUCUCUUUAGCAAACCAACUUAGAGAGGAAAAUCGUAGAAGACCUGAAAUGUCAAUUCAAUUGGGACAUGUGAUAAAGAACUGUAAUGUGG